GACAGUGUCGGAGGCGAGGAGGGCGAGAAAUGCAUGGGAGAAUCUCUGGAUUAGCACUUUUGUUUGUUAAAAAAAAAAAAAAACAAAACUAAAAGGCCAAAAACCAGAGAAUAAUAAAGAAAAUCAGAGAAGAAGAAAUAAGAAGAUGAAUUUGCACUGUUAAGAUUAAAUUGCACUGUUUUAAAAGAACGUUGCACUAUAAUGGACGUAAGUUGCACUCUUUCAAAUAUAAACUCACCCUUUAAGAUGAAAGUUACACUUUUUAAACGAAAGUUGCGCUUUUUGAGAGAUAUUUAUACUGUUUUUUUUCUUGUUGCACUCUAUAAGAGGAGAUAUUUACACUCUUUUUAUUUUUGUUGCACUAUUUCUCGUGUUAAUUUAAAUAUCAACACAUAAAAGAAAAAAUAGUGCAACAAAAGGAGAAAUAGUAUAAUAAGAGAAGAAAUAGUGUAAAUAUCUCUUCUUAAAGAAUACAACAAGAGGAGAAACAGUGUAAAUAUCUCUCAAAGAGUGCAACUUUCAUUUAAAGAGUGUAACUUUCAUCUUAAAUGACAGUUUACAUUUAAAAGAAUGCAACUUACAUCCAUAAUAGUGCAACAUUUUUUUUAAAAUAGUGCAAUUUAAUCUUAACAGUGCAAAUUCAUCUUCUUCUUCCUUCUUCUCUGAUUUUCUAUAUUAUUAUUUAGUUUUUGGACUUUUAGUUUUUUCUUUUUGUUUUAAAUAAACAAAAGUACUAAUAUAGAGAUGCUCCCGUGCAUUUCUCGCCCUUCUUGCCUCCGACAUCGUCGAGGUCAUGCUCGUUGUCGCUCUCUUGGGUAGGCGGGUUGGCCGCAUGGCCCCUCUCUCGCCGGCGUGCUUCUCAACGUUGAGAAGUGCCUUCUCUUUAUCGUCGAUGGCGGUGGUGGGAACGUCAGAAGUGGGUUUUGUUGGUGCAAAAUCUGCUACAGUGGAGGUGUAGGGCGAAGACGGAGGAAAAGGACGGGUUACCGUCCUCGUUAUCGUCGCGGAGGGCCGCGGAGGCGGUGGAGGAGGGUCGGAGAGAAAAAAAAAAGGGUCGCAACGCGGCCUUGACGGGGUCGGAGGCGAGUAGGGCGAGGGUGAGGGUGAGGGUGAGGGCGUGAGGUGCAGAGACGAUCGGGCCGUUUUCGCCUUCGCUUCCGUCGCCUUCUUCGGCGAGGAAAAAAAAGAACGCGAGAAAAAAAAAGGAGAGAGAAAAAGGUAUAAGGGUAUUUUGGUCUGUUUACUAAAAGUUCGGUCCGAAUCUACAAAAUCGAAAAAAAUAGCCCAAUUUUGCAAAAGCGCAAAACUAGUGGAUUUUUUAUGCAAAUUGGCUUGAAUUUUUUCUAGUGAAUCAAACAAAUAAUUUUUUUCUUUCAACCAAAUAAAUAUUAAUAAAAAAUUAUUUUUUUUCUAUAAAUCAAAC
This 1423-nucleotide long non-coding RNA is filed under the name Ananas comosus (pineapple). RNAcentral describes it as "long non-coding RNA (ACOM_LNC026912)". Lineage: Eukaryota; Viridiplantae; Streptophyta; Magnoliopsida; Poales; Bromeliaceae. The record is from RNAcentral.